UAACAAUCCACGGUGCAGGGCCCACACUUCUAUUGGCCUCUUUGCAUCAUCAAUCCCAGAUAUUGUGAGAUUGCUGACUGUGGAUUUGGUUAAAAGGCUGAAUAACAGCAAAACAAAAAGUUGAGGAACACGAGACAACACACCGGCCUUGUAGAAAGUCAAAGCACGUUUUGCAGCCACAUAGUGCACUAAGAGUUUGUAAAGCAAAUGUGUCGCGUUGUCUUUGUUAACCUGGGGACAUUAGAUCACCAAGCAGAGCCCUUUGGUGCUGUAAUCGGUGACGUUUUUGCACAAUGAAGCACUCAGACAUUGUCUGUCUGUGUAUCUGUCUGUGUAUCUGUCUGUCUGACACGAGCUUGAGAGAUACAUGAAGACAAUGCCAGAAUCAACUAUGACAAUCAUUUAAUUUACUGCACCUAUGGACUGACAGGACUGUAAACAAACCUUGCAGCAUUCAAUUGUGGAGCCUUCCUACAUGCGUCAGGCACAGGUAUCGAGUCUCUUCUCAGGAGCCCCCAUGGGAGACGUUGAGGUUUUGAUAUAAAGUCUGCCCACUGUCACCACUCUCUUUAAAAAGCUCUGUUAUUAUCAACUUAUCCCUUUUUACCUCGAAGGGAAUCCACAUAACGUUUUGUUGUCUGUCUCUUGUGCGCACUCUGCGUGUUGAACACAACGUGUGCGCGUCCACUGGAGCUCACACCAGUGGAACAUCUGUGCUUUAGAUUUCCACAUCAUCACGCUCACCAGCACACCCCACGUCCACAAAGGUAACCUUGCAUAUAUAGGCCAGUAUUUAACUUGGAUCCACUAGUAUGCCUAAUGUAUCCAUCACGGUUUGGCUGUGCUUGUGCAACUUACUCAUUUCUUUGCAGGGCCAGUGAUGCAUAGCCUGUGUGUAAAACGUUGUGGGUUGUCGAAGUUAUCAAGUGGGAUUUGCGGCGCUCUCUGCAGGAACCUCCGGCUGCUAGAGUUCAAAGCCACAUGCACAGACGUGCCAUGCGAACCAUUAAAAUAUCUUCUUGGCUACUAGGCUAGUUUCUACAAGGCUUUUUCCAAGUCAGUCUUGGGAGACCAAGGGAAGAGGGCAAGUUUUGUUGUUCUCAACUUAACAAGUAGCUACACCUUCAACCUGAUCCGGCGUUUUAGGUAGCCCACUUCUCUGCUAUGCAAAAUUUGGAGGGAUCUUUCAACAGGUGGAAAACGGCCGUGGGUGCCAUGAAUGGUGACUGGGACACACUGUAAAGGGACAAGAGGGACUUUGGAUUCAACUGGCUCCCUGUGCAAAGAAAUGCAGUGAAGAGCAGCACAGACCAGGAAGGAAGGACUGGGGCAUCUGUGUUUGGGUUGGCUAUGUCUAAAUCAGCACUCCUUGUCCUGUCGCACAGGUGGAGGUUCAAACGGGUCCCAGACCAGAGGCACCUCGGGAGGGAUCGGAUGGCUGCUGCCUUCAGGCCUGGCCAAAGUUUGACCCGCACUAAAAAACAGGCCUGUUCCAGACCAUUGCUGCUCUCCCCCUGCUAAAACAACACCAGGGAAAGUGUG
Non-coding RNA from Epinephelus lanceolatus (giant grouper), 1542 nucleotides. NCBI's taxonomy places the organism in Eukaryota, Metazoa, Chordata, Actinopteri, Perciformes, Serranidae. The record is from RefSeq and is a predicted model, not a curated record.